This 276-nucleotide long non-coding RNA is filed under the name Hordeum vulgare. RNAcentral describes it as "long non-coding RNA (HVUL_LNC000875)". The record is from RNAcentral. Lineage: Eukaryota; Viridiplantae; Streptophyta; Magnoliopsida; Poales; Poaceae.
ACGUCUAAAAACGCCGUUAACCCUCGAUCGCUCGCUCGCACGCUUGCACCGGCUCCCCCCGCUCGGUCCGCUCGCCGCAACGCGCCGCGCCUCCCCCGCUCGUCGCGGCCGCGCCGGGCCGCUCGCCCCGCUCGCCGCGCCUCCUCCCCCGCUCGCCGCGCCGCGCCGCUCGCCCCCGCUCGCCCCCGCUCGGUCCCGCUCCCCCCGCUCGCCCCGCUUGCCGCGCCGCGCCUCCCACGCUCGGCUGGCCGUGCCUCCUCCCCCGCUCCCUCCCCC